Molecule: long non-coding RNA, 164 nt
Organism: Cebus imitator (Panamanian white-faced capuchin)
Lineage: Eukaryota; Metazoa; Chordata; Mammalia; Primates; Cebidae
Exons: 3
Source: RefSeq, a predicted model, not a curated record
AAGCCCAACUAAUUUUUGUAUUUUUGGUAGAGAUGGGGUUUCACAAAGUUGGCCAGGAUGGUCUCGAUCUCUUGACCUCGUGAUCUGCCUACCUCGGACUCCCAAAGUGCUGGAAUUAACAGGCGCGAGCCACAGCGCCCAGUCUGGACAUAACUUCUGAUGAU